GGGAGGCAGCAGUGGGGAAUAUCGCGCAGUGGGCGAAAGCCUGACGCAGCGACGCCGUUUGGGGGAUGAAGGCCUUCGGGUAUUGAACCUCUUUCAGCAGGGACGAAUUCAGACGGUACCUGCAGAAGAAGCACCGGCCAACUACGUGCCAGCAGCCGCGGUAAUACGUAGGGUGCAAGCGUUGUCCGGAAUUAUUGGGCGUAAAGAGCUCGUAGGCGGUCUGUCGCGUCGGCUGUGAAAACUUGGGGCUCAACCCCAAGCCUGCAGUCGAUACGGGCAGACUAGAGUGCGGUAGGGGAGACUGGAAUUCCUGGUGUAGCGGUGAAAUGCGCAGAUAUCAGGAGGAACACCGGUGGCGAAGGCGGGUCUCUGGGCCGUAACUGACGCUGAGGAGCGAAAGCGUGGGGAGCGAACAGGAUUAGAUACCCUGGUAGUCCACGCCGUAAACGGUGGGUGCCAGGUGUGAGCGGUAUUCCACGCCGUUCGUGCCGCAGCUAACGCAUUAAGCACCCCGCCUGGGGAGUACGGCCGCAAGGCUAAAACUCAAAGGAAUUGACGGGGGCCCGCACAAGCAGCGGAGCAUGUGGCUUAAUUCGACGCAACGCGAAGAACCUUAC
Molecule: ribosomal RNA, 617 nt
Filed under: uncultured Actinomycetes bacterium
Lineage: Bacteria; Bacillati; Actinomycetota; Actinomycetes
Description: bacterial SSU rRNA
Rfam family: Bacterial small subunit ribosomal RNA
Source: RNAcentral